RNAcentral lists this ribosomal RNA (483 nucleotides) under uncultured bacterium. RNAcentral describes it as "partial 16S ribosomal RNA". It matches the Rfam family "Bacterial small subunit ribosomal RNA", at positions 28 to 523 of the family's 1533-position model. The record is from RNAcentral.
GAUGAACGCUGGCGGCGUGCCUAAUACAUGCAAGUCGAGCGAACCACUUCGGUGGAGAGCGGCGAACGGGUGAGUAACACGUAGGUCAUCUACCAUUAGACGGGGAUAACGUUUGGAAACGAACGCUAAUACCGGAUAGGAAGAAAUUUUAAAGGUGCUUUCGGGCAUCGCUAAUGGAUGAGCCUGCGGCGCAUUAGCUAGUUGGUAAGGUAAGAGCUUACCAAGGCGACGAUGCGUAGCCGACCUGAGAGGGUGAACGGCCACACUGGGACUGAGACACGGCCCAGACUCCUACGGGAGGGAGCAGUAGGGAAUCUUCGGCAAUGGACGAAAGUCUGACCGAGCAACGCCGCGUGAAUGAAGAAGGCCUUCGGGUUGUAAAAUUCUGUUAUAAGGGAAGAAAGACUAUAGUAGGAAAUGGCUAUAGAGUGACGGUACCUUAUGAGAAAGCCACGGCUAACUACGUGCCAGCAGCCGCGGUAA